CAAGAGGUCCCCUCUCCAGGAGACAUCUAAGUAUGUCUCAUUGGCCAGAGCUAUGUCACAGGGCCACCCUAGCUGCAAGGAAGUCUGGGAAAGAGGAUAUCUUGCCAAAGACUAUGCACAUGUCUUCCAUGAACAAAUCUGUGCUUCUUCAGUGAAGGAGAAGGGCCGGAUAAUAUUGGUGGGACCUGGAAGAGUCUACCCUCACACAGCCUGGUGGAGAUGGUCAGGGGUUACAGAAGAGCAAGCUGGCUGGAGCAGCAGCCACCCCCCACACACGUGCCGCAUUUGCCUUCAGCUUAGAUCACACCCUGAUGCUUCCAUGAGGAUGCUGAGUCAAGAAAGCAGUCUUAGGGUGUGGACAAGAGGAGCUUCUUCAUGCAGCACUGCUAACUCUGCAUGUUUAUUCCAGCUACUGACAUGGUUUCCAAUUCUGUGAGAUUCAUAAGGGGGAAGGGAAUAAAAUUUCAGCUACCCUUAGGUAGCAUAUUUGCGUCCUCUGUGUCUUUCUCGAGUUUGUGCCCUUCUGUGCCUUUGUGUGUGGCUUAAAUAUUGAAGAAUCAAAGGCUGCCACGCCAGCAGACAGCUGUGCCACAUCACAGGCAUUCCACAGGCAAUUCCUCACUCCCACUUUUUUGACAGUUGCACCAG
Molecule: long non-coding RNA, 648 nt
Filed under: Homo sapiens (human)
Lineage: Eukaryota; Metazoa; Chordata; Mammalia; Primates; Hominidae
Description: HSALNT0250040
Source: RNAcentral